This 465-nucleotide ribosomal RNA is filed under the name uncultured bacterium. RNAcentral describes it as "partial 16S ribosomal RNA". It matches the Rfam family "Bacterial small subunit ribosomal RNA", at positions 28 to 507 of the family's 1533-position model. The record is from RNAcentral.
GACGAACGCUGGCGGCGUGCUUAACACAUGCAAGUCGUACGGUAAGGCCCUUUCGGGGGUACACGAGUGGCGAACGGGUGAGUAACACGUGCGUAACCUGCCCACAACUUUGGGAUAACGCUAGGAAACUGGUGCUAAUACUGGAUAUGUGCUCCUGCUGCAUGGUGGGGGUUGGAAAGCUCCGGCGGUUGUGGAUGGACUCGCGGCCUAUCAGCUUGUUGGUGGGGUAGUGGCCUACCAAGGCGGCGACGGGUAGCCGGCCGGAGAGGGUGACCGGCCACAUUGGGACUGAGAUACGGCCCAGACUCCUACGGGAGGCAGCAGUGGGGAAGAUUGCACAAUGGGCGCAAGCCUGAUGCAGCAACGCCGCGUGCGGGAUGACGGCCUUCGGGUUGGAAACCGAUUUCAGCAGGGACGAAGCUUUUUGUGACGGUACCUGCAGAAGAAGCACCGGCUAACUACGUG